This 221-nucleotide long non-coding RNA is filed under the name Arabidopsis lyrata. RNAcentral describes it as "long non-coding RNA (ALYR_LNC002007)". Lineage: Eukaryota; Viridiplantae; Streptophyta; Magnoliopsida; Brassicales; Brassicaceae. The record is from RNAcentral.
AGUCUCCACUUCAUCAGGCUUCUGCAUCAACUCAUCAAACAACAACAGAAAAGGCAGCAGCAUCAGGAGGAAAAGCACCAUCAUCAGGUCCACUAAAUGCAGCAGCUGGUUAUAAGUCUUCUGUUGAGAUAUCAAAAUCCGCAGCCACAACAAAAGGAACGAAAUCCGCAGCCACAGUUUCAAAAUCUCUUGUUGAGAAGUCUCCAGCAACAUGUUCAAAG